RNAcentral lists this ribosomal RNA (496 nucleotides) under uncultured bacterium. Its description in RNAcentral is "partial 16S ribosomal RNA". It matches the Rfam family "Bacterial small subunit ribosomal RNA", at positions 28 to 506 of the family's 1533-position model. The record is from RNAcentral.
GAUGAACGCUGGCGGCGUGCCUAAUACAUGCAAGUCGAGCGAACGGACGAGAAGCUUGCUUCUCUGAUGUUAGCGGCGGACGGGUGAGUAACACGUGGAUAACCUACCUAUAAGACUGGGAUAACUUCGGGAAACCGGAGCUAAUACCGGAUAAUAUUUUGAACCGCAUGGUUCAAAAGUGAAAGACGGUCUUGCUGUCACUUAUAGAUGGAUCCGCGCUGCAUUAGCUAGUUGGUAAGGUAACGGCUUACCAAGGCAACGAUGCAUAGCCGACCUGAGAGGGGGUUCGGCCACCCUGGAACUGAGCCCCGGCCCAGACUCCUAGGGGAGGCAGCAGUAGGGAAUUUUCCGCAAUGGGCGAAAGCCUGAGGGAGCAACGCCGCGGGGGUGAUGAAGGUCUUCGGAUCGUAAAACUCUGUUAUUAGGGAAGAAAAUAUGUGUAAGUAACUGUGCAAAUCUUGACGGUACCAAAUCAGAAAGCCACGGCUAACUAAGU